UACAGAGGUCCCAAGCGUUGUUCGGAUUCACUGGGCGUAAAGGGUGCGUAGGUGGCCGGGUAAGUUCGAUGUGAAAGCUCUGAGCUCAACUCAGAAAUGGCAUUGAAUACUAUCCGGCUUGAGGGUUGGAGGGGGGACUGGAAUUCUCGGUGUAGCAGUGAAAUGCGUAGAUAUCGAGAGGAACACCUGUGGCGAAGGCGGCCCCCUGGUUGGAUACUGACGCUGAGACGCGAAAGCGUGGGGAGCAAACAGG
This 253-nucleotide ribosomal RNA is filed under the name uncultured prokaryote. RNAcentral's name for it is "partial 16S ribosomal RNA". It matches the Rfam family "Bacterial small subunit ribosomal RNA", at positions 524 to 776 of the family's 1533-position model. The record is from RNAcentral.